CUGGGAUUAGAUACCCCACUAUGCCUAGCCCUAAACAUUGGCAACACAAAACACCCGUUGCCCGCCCGGGCACUACGAGCAUUAGCUUAAAACCCAAAGGACUUGGCGGUGCUUUAGACCCACCUAGAGGAGCCUGUUCUAGAACCGAUACCCCCCGUUAAACCUCACCCCUUCUUGUCAUUACCGCCUAUAUACCGCCGUCGUCAGCUUACCCUGUGAAGGAUUAGUAGUAAGCAAAGUUGUCACAACCCAAAACGUCAGGUCGAGGUGUAGCCUAUGAAGGGGGAAGAAAUGGGCUACAUUCACUAAUUAAGAGAAUACGAACGAUGUAUUGAAACACACGUCCAAAGGAGGAUUUAGCAGUAAGCAAAAAAUAGAGCGUUUUGCUGAAAAUGGCCCUGAAGCGCGCACACACCGCCCGUCACCCUCUGCA
This 433-nucleotide ribosomal RNA is filed under the name Lophius piscatorius (angler). RNAcentral describes it as "partial 12S ribosomal RNA". It matches the Rfam family "Bacterial small subunit ribosomal RNA", at positions 772 to 1408 of the family's 1533-position model. The record is from RNAcentral. Lineage: Eukaryota; Metazoa; Chordata; Actinopteri; Lophiiformes; Lophiidae.